Molecule: unclassified non-coding RNA, 235 nt
Filed under: Hevea brasiliensis (rubber tree)
Lineage: Eukaryota; Viridiplantae; Streptophyta; Magnoliopsida; Malpighiales; Euphorbiaceae
Source: RNAcentral
AUCAAGAUGAAUUGUACAUAAGAAGUUUUUGGGAUCAUGAAAAGUUGGGCAUACUUUGGCAUACUUUGGCAUAGUGUAUUUUAUGCAUUCAUCUGCAAAACUAUUGCAAAUGCAUGCAACUGAGCCCACCAACAAAUUCCACUUGUUAACUUGAUUGUAUUUACAAUCAACAAAAUUUAUGCAGUCGGUGAACUAACAAGAAUAUACUAACCUUCAUGUAGGGACAGGAAGCACA